RNAcentral lists this ribosomal RNA (253 nucleotides) under uncultured bacterium. RNAcentral's name for it is "partial 16S ribosomal RNA". It matches the Rfam family "Bacterial small subunit ribosomal RNA", at positions 524 to 776 of the family's 1533-position model. The record is from RNAcentral.
UACGGGGGGGGCAAGCGUUGUUCGGAAGUACUGGGCGUAAAGGGCUCGUAGGUGGCCAACUAAGUCAGACGUGAAAUCCCUCGGCUUAACCGGGGAACUGCGUCUGAUACUGGAUGGCUUGAGUUCGGGAGAGGGAUGCGGAAUUCCAGGUGUAGCGGUGAAAUGCGUAGAUAUCUGGAGGAACACCGGUGGCGAAGGCGGCAUCCUGGACCGACACUGACGCUGAGGAGCGAAAGCCAGGGGAGCAAACGGG